Molecule: ribosomal RNA, 408 nt
Filed under: uncultured bacterium
Lineage: Bacteria
Description: partial 16S ribosomal RNA
Rfam family: Bacterial small subunit ribosomal RNA
Source: RNAcentral
GACGAACGCUGGCGGCGUGCUUAACACAUGCAAGUCGAACGAUGUGGCGAACGGGUGAGUAAUACGGGGGUAACCUUCCCUCAUUUUUGGAAUAAACCUUGGAAACGCGUUCUAAUACCUGAUACAGGGGGAGGGGCUCGCGGUCUAUGAGCUGGUUGGGGGGGUGAUGGCCUACCAGGGCGGUGACGGGUAGCCGGGCUGAGAGGGUGACCGGCCACAUUGCGAGGGAGAUACUGCUCAGAGUCCUACGGGAGGGAGCAGUUAGGGAUAGUGCACAAUGGGGGAAAGCCUGAGGCAGGGACGCCGAGUGGGGGAUGAAGGCUUUCGGGUUGUAAACCUGUGUCGCUAUCGAACGGGUAGGUGGAGAAGAAGCGCCGGCUAACUACGUGCCAGCAGCCGCGGUAAUAC